AUGAGGGGGAAGACCGAGGAUGAGGAUAAACCCUCGAAGGCACCGGUCAUGGCGGAUGCGCCGAGCUCGCCGGAAGCGUUGGGUUCGCGUUCUACUUUGAUCUGUGAGCUCUUGAACCAGGGGUACGAAGAAGAUGAUCUCAAGUUGGUGGUCGAGACGUUGGUCCCGAUGGCCGAUCUGGCGAGAGACGGCGUCGACCCGAAGGAUCGCAAGAAAGUGAUCUGGCGGCUUGUGCAUCGGCGCACUACGGCUCGGCCCUGGCAGGGACCGAUUCCCAAGGUAAGGUUGCGGGUGUUAACGCUGGGUGAUUUUCUAAAUUCGGGAGUUUGGUUGCAGGUUCAACGACGGCGGCGGAAGGAGCGGCGGCCGGCGUUGUCGCCGGAGGAGGAGGGGAAGCAGAUCUCGAUCCAGGAGGCUCAUAGAGAGCGUUUGAAAUGCUUAUUGGGCCAACAAGGGCCGGUUUCGGGAGAGGAUCAUGUGGGCUCAGGGCAUGCGGCCCAGCCAACGAUUUUUUCUGAGCAUGCGGCUCAGGCGGGUCAGGAUGGGCUGCGGGAGCAAUUGGUGGUGGCCCAACCCAGCAUGGACAUUACUAGGGUUCGGCCGACGUGGGCGCGACCUGGCUUUCGUUCUCGCGGGGUAGGUCAAGCGCGACGUGUGCGAGCAAACGCGGUGCCGAUCGACAGGGUCUCCUUUGACGCUAUGCUCAUGGCGGGGAGAGGGACGGAUCCUCCACCGGUGCAGGCAGUUACGUCUAAUGGGCGCAGUCAUCGCUCGGAUCGGGAGCGAGCCGGUCGGCUGUGGCGGCUAAUGGUGGGCACGGCGACACUUGUGGGGCGGUGA
Molecule: ribosomal RNA, 840 nt
Filed under: Triticum aestivum (bread wheat)
Lineage: Eukaryota; Viridiplantae; Streptophyta; Magnoliopsida; Poales; Poaceae
Description: partial small subunit ribosomal RNA
Source: RNAcentral